GAUGAACGCUGGCGGCGUGCUUAACACAUGCAAGUCGAACGGUGAACACGGAGCUUGCUCUGUGGGAUCAGUGGCGAACGGGUGAGUAACACGUGAGCAACCUGCCCCUGACUCUGGGAUAAGCGCUGGAAACGGCGUCUAAUACUGGAUAUGUGACGUGACCGCAUGGUCUGCGUUUGGAAAGAUUUUUCGGUUGGGGAUGGGCUCGCGGCCUAUCAGCUUGUUGGUGAGGUAAUGGCUCACCAAGGCGUCGACGGGUAGCCGGCCUGAGAGGGUGACCGGCCACACUGGGACUGAGACACGGCCCAGACUCCUACGGGAGGCAGCAGUGGGGAAUAUUGCACAAUGGGCGCAAGCCUGAUGCAGCAACGCCGCGUGAGGGAUGACGGCCUUCGGGUUGUAAACCUCUUUUAGCAGGGUAGAAGCGAAAGUGACGGUACCUGCAGAAAAAGCGCCGGCUAACUACGUG
RNAcentral lists this ribosomal RNA (469 nucleotides) under uncultured bacterium. Its description in RNAcentral is "partial 16S ribosomal RNA". It matches the Rfam family "Bacterial small subunit ribosomal RNA", at positions 28 to 507 of the family's 1533-position model. The record is from RNAcentral.